Molecule: ribosomal RNA, 460 nt
Filed under: uncultured bacterium
Lineage: Bacteria
Description: partial 16S ribosomal RNA
Rfam family: Bacterial small subunit ribosomal RNA
Source: RNAcentral
CCUACGGGAGGCUGCAGUGAGGAAUAUUGGUCAAUGGGCGGGAGCCUGAACCAGCCAAGCCGCGUGAGGGAAGAAGGUACAGCGUAUCGUAAACCUCUUUUGUCAGGGAACAAAGGCGGGGACUAGUCCCCGGAUGAGGGUACCUGAAGAAAAAGCAUCGGCUAACUCCGUGCCAGCAGCCGCGGUAAUACGGAGGAUGCGAGCGUUAUCCGGAUUUAUUGGGUUUAAAGGGUGCGCAGGCGGCCUGUUAAGUCAGCGGUAAAAGCCCGGGGCUCAACGUGGGAACUGCCUUUGAAACUGGCAAACUGGAGUGUGUAAGAGGAUAGUGGAAUUCCAGGUGUAGGAGUGAAAUCCGUAGAUAUCUGGAGGAACAUCAGUGGCGAAGGCGACUAUCUGGCACAUAACUGACGCUGAGGAGCGAAAGCGUGGGUAGCAAACAGGAUUAGAUACCCUUGUAGUC